Molecule: ribosomal RNA, 1016 nt
Filed under: uncultured bacterium
Lineage: Bacteria
Description: bacterial SSU rRNA
Rfam family: Bacterial small subunit ribosomal RNA
Source: RNAcentral
CGUAGCGAAAGUUACGCUAAUACCGCAUACGAUCUAUGGAUGAAAGCAGGGGACCUUCGGGCCUUGUGCUCCUGGAGCGGCCGAUAUCUGAUUAGCUAGUAGGUAGGGUAAAGGCCUACCUAGGCGACGAUCAGUAGCUGGUCUGAGAGGACGACCAGCCACACUGGAACUGAGACACGGUCCAGACUCCUACGGGAGGCAGCAGUGGGGAAUUUUGGACAACGGGCGCAAGCCUGAUCCAGCAAUGCCGCGUGAGUGAAGAAGGCCUUCGGGUUGUAAAGCUCUUUUGUCAGGGAAGAAACGGGAGUGGCUAAUAUCCAUUCUUAAUGACGGUACCUGAAGAAUAAGCACCGGCUAACUACGUGCCAGCAGCCGCGGUAAUACGUAGGGUGCAAGCGUUAAUCGGAAUUACUGGGCGUAAAGCGUGCGCAGGCGGUUUUGUAAGUCUGACGUGAAAUCCCCGGGCUCAACCUGGGAAUUGCGUUGGAGACUGCAAGGCUAGAAUCUGGCAGAGGGGGGUAGAAUUCCACGUGUAGCAGUGAAAUGCGUAGAGAUGUGGAGGAACACCGAUGGCGAAGGCAGCCCCCUGGGUCAAGAUUGACGCUCAUGCACGAAAGCGUGGGGAGCAAACAGGAUUAGAUACCCUGGUAGUCCACGCCCUAAACGAUGUCUACUAGUUGUCGGGUUUUAAUUAACUUGGUAACGCAGCUAACGCGUGAAGUAGACCGCCUGGGGAGUACGGUCGCAAGAUUAAAACUCAAAGGAAUUGACGGGGACCCGCACAAGCGGUGGGAUGAUGUGGAUUAAUUCGAUGCACGCGAAAACCUUACCUACCCUUGACAUGUCAGGAAUCCCGAAGAGAUUGGUAGUGCCCGAAAGGGAACUGGACACAGGUGCUGCAUGGCUGUCGUCAGCUCGUGUCGCGAGAUGUUGGGUUAAGUCCCGCAACGAGCGCAACCCUUGUCAUUAGUAGCUACAUUAGUUAGGGCACUCUAUGAGACUGCCCGUGACAACGG